AGUGCCAAAACAGGCAGACUCUAUGGGAAGGGAAACUCUUAAGUCUGAGAGAGGCACUAAAUCCAGUAUUGGUUGUGGCACUGCUGAAGCUAAUUAUGGCUGGGCACCUACUCACUGACCUUCUUUGGGAGUGACUGAGAAAUGAGUACUGGUGCAAGAGUGGUCAGGGCCAGAUGACUGAAGAAGGGUGUGGGAAGAAGACGAAAGUAGUGAGACUUCCUCAAAACACUCUUCAGCCUCCAGGAAUCCAUGGAUC
Numida meleagris (helmeted guineafowl) is the source of this 256-nucleotide long non-coding RNA. RefSeq lists it as uncharacterized. Lineage: Eukaryota; Metazoa; Chordata; Aves; Galliformes; Numididae. The transcript has 3 exons. The record is from RefSeq and is a predicted model, not a curated record.